RNAcentral lists this long non-coding RNA (8367 nucleotides) under Sus scrofa (pig). Its description in RNAcentral is "lncRNA (ENSSSCG00040003411.1)". Lineage: Eukaryota; Metazoa; Chordata; Mammalia; Artiodactyla; Suidae. The record is from RNAcentral.
UUUUUAGGGCUGCACCUGAGGCAUAUGGAAGUUCCCAAGUGAGGGCUGAAUCAGAGCUGCAGCUGGUGACUACACCACAGCCAUAGAAACACAAGAUCCGAGCUGAGUCUGUGACCUCCAUCACAGCUCACAGCAAUGCCAGACCCCUAAGCCACUGAGCAAGGCUGGGGAUCAAACCCGAAUCCUCAUGGAUACCAGUCGGGUUUGUUACUGCUGAGCCAGGAUGGGAACUCCUGCAGUCUGUUUCUAUAAAGAGCAUGAACCAAUUUGGGGUUUGUGCCCAGCAGACCAAAUGUAAUGCAGAGCUAAUUUUAAAAAUUGGUCCUGAAUAUCUGAUUUUAUGAAGGUCAAAAAAAGUGAACGUGUCAAAUUUUGUGAGUACUGUUUAUAUUCCUUUCGUCUUCCUCAUAGCAAAUGAAAAAAAAAAGUAAAAUAGUACAGCUACUGCAUGAAAUCUGAUAAAGGAUACUCUCAUGAGUAUUUAGGUUUGUUCUUUUCCUAGAAUAUGGUAUGUGAUUUUCUCCAAAUGAGACAAAUUAAGAAUUCUUAAAAUGGUAAUAUGCUUUUCCAAAUGAAGAUCAUUUCUACUAAAUUACUCUUUUUUUCAGACAAUUCUAAAUUGAAUCUUGAUCAUUAUCCCAAACCCAAAUACUAUAAUUUCAUAAAUAGAAAGGCUCAUGAAAUACAGUAUUUUCUAUGAAAACAGUUGUUUCAAUGAACAUUACAAGAAGGCUAAUCAAGGAAGGGGCAGAACUGCUAUUUUGUAGGUGUUGGAUAGAGAUCUGGAGGGUUGUUGGGUAGAAGGUUGGUAAAUCUCUAUAAAAAUUCAAAAGAUUUAUACUGAAACCUAACAGGGCAAAAUGAGAGAAUCCUGACAAAUGGCAAGUGACAAGGAAGGACAAUGAGAGGCCUGAAAUAAAGUCUCCAUGAGACAGGGCUGACUGUGUACCCAGUGGGGGCAGGAGGCCAAAGUGGGAUAGAGACCCCACAGUUAUAAACUGCUGGCCCCUAGAACAUGUUCCAACACUUAAGAGGGAACCAGCUUGUACCCCGAGAAUACGGUUGUGUAAUCAAAUAAAAAGUGCUAUCCCACUGCCUUAGGCCAAUAUCAUGACUUUGAACUACUGUCACAGAGGGAGGAAUUUAUACCAGCCUCAAUGGCAACCACUGGAACAAAAAGCCCAGCCUCUGGGUCAGCACUUCAGGUCCAAGAGGACAGUGAUGCUCUUCCAUGUUAAGCGUGGUCUUAGCGGUGAUCACAGACAACUCCAUGACUAUCUGAGUUUGACCUUAGAUCUCUGCUUGAGCAGCUCCUUUUGAGCAACUAUCUCUAGAAACAAUUCUGAGGUCAUCAGCCUCCUAGUUGCCCUGACCUAGUUGAAGCUGGACCCAGCACCAAGGCAAGGAGGGACACUUUCUAAGGCAUGAGCCAGUACCCUGAGGGAUUUUUGGACAUCUCAGGGGUGAUGUGUGAGGGAAGCAGAUGGACUUCCUGAUAAAGAAAACAUCUAUAGGACACUGAAAAGAGACUGUAAUGUUCCAUAAUGUUCAAAGAACACUUGAAGUAAAAAAAAACUAUUUGUGAAUAUACUCUGUAUUUGACAUCAUAUUGGAAAUCAUAUUGGUUUAGACAGUUCUGCUGAAACUAGUUUUUUUUUUUAACUUCCUGCUUUCAAGCCAACAGAAAUAGUAUCCAGCAUCUAAGUUCUAAUACCUGUUUUCAUUUGAAGUGAAAAUUUAAUCAUAAAACUCAGAUUACAGCACUAAUCGGCCAUCAAGAUCACAUAAACAUUGUAAGUACAUUUUAUACUUAAGAUAAAUGUGUUUUGAGUGCAAAAAAUUCUGAUGACUAGAAUUGAAUUCAUUAAAUCUAUAUUAAAUAUAGAUUUUUCCAUAAGAUUGCAUGGAAACCUAGUAAUGUGAAAGGGAACAGUAACUGAACUUCCAUCAUUUUUACAGUUUAAUGUUAUGUUUUGCUACUGCUAAAAUCCAUAUGUUCCCAUAUAUCCUCUUUGGCAUUUAACUUUUUUGAAAAUAAAUAUGGUUAGAUAUUAGAAUUUCAUUUUAUUCCACAUUUCCCUUCAGUCUUUGAGUGAGGUUUCUGAUUUCAAAAUUCCAGUUGUGCUUUUUCCAAAAUGAAGAUUAUCUUCCUUUUUAGCUCAUGAAAUCAUUUCUUUUAAGGUUAAUUUUGAUUUCUGCUUUCAAAUAAAAUAUUCCUCCUUUAGGUACUUUUAAAAAGCCAGGGACUGUCAAGGUAUCACUGUCCAACACAUAUAUAUUUUACAUCAAACCUCAGGUAGUGAUGAUUCAUGAGUUAGUAGUAAAAGGUGUUCAGAAUAGAAGCUAGACCAGGAUGAGUUUGUAAGGUGCAUGUUAAGAUGGAAAAUGGGUAAGAAGGGCUCAUUCAGUUUCAGUUCAUGAAGUUCAUAAUAAACAAUUAAAUAACUGUAAUUAAAUCUCCAUUUACUCAGCAUUCCAGAACAGCACACUCAAAUCCAGUCUUCAGGGUAAGUAAGUAAUAACCUUUAUAAAAACUACAUUCAUUAAUUCUUAUAAUAAAGAAUGUAACAAAAACAAUAAAAAAUAAAUGUGUGUUUAAGAGCACUGCUGGCAUUUAAGGUCUCGACAGGCUUAACUGGACUCCAAAAUUAAUACGCACCUGCAGAAAUAAAAUAAACAACACUAAAAUUAAUAUGCAUUUAUUUCAGUACUGGGUAAGAGUAGCAAUUAACGUGGGCAAGAAAGGAGUUUAAGAAUGAAACACCUGUGGGUAUUAAAAAUAGUAACAUGCCCCUUUAAAAUGAGUUCUGUUGCUAUGAACAAUAUUCAAGACAUGUGGAAGGGGAGAUUUAUAGUAUCAUAAAAGUGUGAUUGCUGGACUCAUAGCAUUCUUGGGUCUCAAUAAUACCCUUCUUCUAUAUAUAAGACAAAUUGGAUUAUACAAAGAAAUGAAAACCUGACUCUGGCUUUUCAGAAGAUCACACUGAGAUCGGAGACCCAGGGCAUACCCAUAAGAAACAAACAGAACAGGAGUUCCCGUUGUGGCGCAGUGGUUAAAGAAUCCGACUAGGAACCAUGAGGUUGCGGGUUUGGUCCCUGGCCUUGCUCAGUGGGUUAACGAUCCGGCGUUGCCGUGAGCUGUGGUGUAGGUUGCAGACGCAGCUCGGAUGCCACGUUGCUGUGGCUCUGGCAUAGGCCGGAGGCUACAGCUCCAAUUUGACCCCUAGCCUGGGAACCUCCAUAUGCCUCGGGAGCGGCCCAAGAAACAACAAAAAGAAAAAAAAAAAAAAAAGAAAAGAAAAGAAACAAACAGAACAAUCGCAAAAAUGUGCAUACACAGCCAUUUGCAAGAUACUUUCCUUACGUUAUUUCACCAGCCCCCAAAUAAUCUAAUAAUAUGGGAAGAGAGGACAGUCAUUAUUGUUAUCUGUGGGCUCAGGAGUUUGAAAAGCUCACUUCUGUCAUAAAUUAGUAAUAAUUUAAUCAAAGAAUCACAGACUUUAUAGGCUCAGGCACUGAGAUAAGCAGCUGAGGGCAACAUCUUAAUUACACCUCACAACGAUCCUAGGAGAGAAGAGUAAUUAUAUUCUCAUUUCAGAAAUAAGAAAAAAAUAAAGCUUAUUUAAUAUCUUUCCUAAUACACAGCCAAUUAAGUGAUAGAGUUAGGAUGGAGGAUUUGAACUUCCGUCCAAAUGACUCAGAGCCCAUAUCCUUUAGAGUAGCCCGCCCUCCUGUUAACCUAGCUCUAAGAGGGUGACAGAUUUCAACUUCUCUGAACUUGAGUAUCCCCGUGAAAUAUAAUAUAGCUACCAACAUUUGUGUCUGGGGAUGUUGUGUGGAUUAAUGGCAUGACUUUUGAUAAGUUCUUGCCCCAGAAAAUGCUGCAUUAAAAGUAGACUCCUCCCUCUCGCCUCUCCCUUAAUUUGUAUCCCCAGGAUCUCACAGCUAGUAAAUGGCAGAUACAGCACUGAGACCCUUGUCCUCUGACUCCAUGCUCCCACAUUGCCCCAAGUCUCUUUCUAUAAUAUCCUUGCGCUGUGCUAUAUCCAGAGGAGACAUUUCAGUCUGUUCAUAGUGUUACCGCUGUUCUAUGACUUGCAUGUCCACUGUCUAUAGUAGAUAAGAGCAAGCAGCUGGUACUCCUCAACAUUCACUAGGCACUCAUUUGAAAGACCUGUUUCUCUGUAAGCUUCAAAACAAUCACUGACCAUUCCAUCUUUUCAUUGUUUUUUUUUUUUUUUUUUUUUUUUUUUGUGGUCAUGUGGGGGAAGUGGAGAGGUUGGGUGCCAGACAAGAUGUGCUAAGUGACAUAAAACAAAGCGUUCUACAAACAAAGGAAGUCAUAGAGAUUAGUUCUGUGGACUUACAUUUGGAAACCAUACUGCAAGUGUAUCAUUAAAAUCAUUACGGCAACCAGCUGACAAAGUGUUAUUUCUAAAAAGAACAGCAGACUUCAACUGACAUAGCUUAUUCAUUGGGUCCCCUCUUUGGGUAUUCCUUACUCUGCUCUCAGAAGUGUUUUAGAAUUUUUCUAUGAUCUCAAACAAAUUGAUUGAGAAAGUGCAGCUUCUAUGCUAAACUUGUACAAAAACACAAAGACAGUCAAGUUCUCCCUUAGGUAGUUAACUUUCUGACCAGCUUUGGAGGCUCAUGGACAUUAAGAUGCAGUGAGUUAUGUUUUGAAAUGCCUGAGCUGUAUCUUGAGGUUUGAAGACCAGAUAAUUUAGGAUCUUAAUAAUUACUUGUAAGAAUAAUCACUCCUAAUCAUAAUAAUCACUUGCAAUAAUGUUAAUGACAAUAAUAUUGCACAGUGACAAUUCUUCCAGUUCUGACAGUAAUGGGAAGCGACCUCCUCUGCUGAGGAACAAUGCAAAUCAGAGGUGAGAACUCACAGUGGAUCUCUGAAUUAUUCAUGAGCUCAUACAUGUCACUUGCAUCUGUACGCUAAACAAAAAAACCACAAAAGUGUAAUAGCACAUUAGUGAUGCAAAUUACAGAAAGGCAGAUUUGAUUCUGGUUUAGCGAAGAUUCUCAAAAUUCAGUCCAAAUAGCAUUUUUACCAAAAGUAAAGUCCCUGUUUUUUUAUUCUUUACAUUUGCUAGAAUUCAUUUGCUUGGCCAGGUCAGUAUUUUGGGCUUUUUCAUUUCAUUCAGUUCUGAUUUAUCCAUUUUUGUCAGCUUCUAAUGCACACCAGCAACAUUAAUCAAGUCACUCUCACAAUUUCUCUGAGAGCAAUUCAAGAGAGGUUGUAUCAUAAGGACACUUAGAAGGUGAGUAUCAAUAUAUGUACAAAUGAGGGAAAAUAAUUUUUUAAACAGAUUAAAAAUAUAUGAGAGAGAAAAAAGAAUAAAGCAACUGUGGUUAAAAUGUUAACAUUGGGGAAUUCUUAGAACUGUUCUUGCAACUUUUCAGUAAGUCUGAAAUUAUGCCAAGAUAAAAUAUUAAAAAAAAAACAAUAACAUUGCCACUCAAUCUGUCACUGCACUAAAUGAGCAUGGGCCAUGGAAUAAAGGAUGGGAGGUGAGAGCCUCAGUUAGCUAUAGUUAACACUUCCCUCCAAGCAUGAGCAUUAUGCCACACUGGGUGUGAGUCUAGGAUUUUAACACACAUAUUUGUUGUGUAAAACAAUGUUUUUAAAAAUUCACAUAUGCAUUUUUAGCAUAUACCAUGUAUUAUACACUUAGGCAUACUAAUUGUUAAACAGGAUUAAAGCUCUAUAUAUUACAUUUUAAGGGUGAUGUGAGGUUUUCAAGGGUGAUUAUGGCUGGGUAUGAGUUUUGCUCUAUGUGACAACUUUAAGUCUUGUCCCUCUGUAAGAUGUGACUCCACUGAACUCUGACUUACAGGUGAAGAAAGAAGUUAUACAAAUGAAUGACUUAGUCUUAUCUUGAUGGCUACUCUAUACUCAUAAAAUCAAGAGAAUGAAAAGUCCAUAGUUUAGCAUUCCAUUCCCUUUUCUGCACUCUGUGCCCUUUUCAGCAUCUGCCAUCACUAAGAGGCCACACCCAUGAAGUACUCUGGUGGCCCUGGUCCCUAAAUGAAAACAUCCUAUAAACUUAAUGUGCUAUGUGUCCCAGGAGUAUUUAGAGGGGAAAAAAACGCUGUCUGGGAAAAGUAUCAAACAAAAGGAAAUCUGACAAAUCUGAGUCUUUAGUGGGAAGAAAUAUUGGUCCAGGGCAGUUCCUGUAGCUCUCUGAUUAUUAAUUAUGCUGACAUAUUUAUUCCAUUUAUUUCUUGCCUGCUUUAACCUCUACUACCACUGAGUUCAAGUUACAUGUAUUACAAAAUGGCAAGCCUAUUAUAGGUAUACUAUGUACAUUAUAACAUAGGACAAGCUUGGCUAAGGAAAUUUUUAUUUGGUAUGUCAGCAUGUGCACCUUUUGGAGAUCUGCUUAUUGUUGUAGCUGUUUAGGCUUAGAAAUAGAUGUGAAAUGUAGUCAGAAGGGCCUAGGAGUAAGAGUUGAAAGAUCUAUUACAAACUAUAUGUUUGCCAAGUUACAAAAUCUCUCUUUGCUUCAUUUUCAUAAUCUGAAAAAGGUAUGAAGAUCAUUCAAUGUCUUAAUAAUUACUUUUGGUCAUAGUCAUCACCUGUGAAAAUGUUACUAACAAUAUGCCCUGCCUAGCUCACAGGACCAAAAGAGAUGUUUAGGAAAGCACUUUAUAAUCUCUAAAGUAUGACAUAAAUGCAACACAAGAGACUGUGAUUGUUAAUUUUAUGUGUUAACUUGAUUGGGUAUGGAGUACUCAGAUAUUUGGUUACACAUUAUUCUGGGAAUGUUUGUUGAGGGUGGUUCUGGAUGCAUGACUGGAACAAUCUGCAGAUAUUGAGAUUUCUCAGCCUUUGUAAUCCCAUGAGUCAGUUGUCCUUUUAAUAAAUUAGGCAGAUAAGAUGAUAGGUAGAUCUCCUAUUGGUUAUUCUACUAUAUAUCACAUAUAUGUAUAUUUACAUGUGUCAUAUGUAUUUAUCUCUCAUUGAUACUGUUUCACUAGACAACCACUAGCUAAGUAAAAUAUUUCUUAAACCUGUUAGUUGAAUAAAUCAAAAGAAUUUCUAAGGAACAGGUGUAUCAGUAAAACAGUUUCAUCAUAAAAUCUAUGCCCAGAGAUCAGUCUGAAAAUCUUCACCCUUCUCCACUAUAUCUAAAAAUUAAGAAAAGGGCUGAAGGGCCUGAGACUAUACAGGACCAUCUGAGCUUAUGUCUGGGACCAUCUAUCUCCACUCAGCUGUCCUCUUCCUCCCUCAACUGCUUCGCAGUCACACCAAAGAAAAGCAAAUGAGAUUGCGUAGUUUAAAAAAUGAGAAAUCACAAAGCACUGUAUUAGGCAUAAAUUAGCAUUCUGAAUCCAGUUUAUCUCACUGUGAUGAUGGCUCAUGUGUUUUCUGUUUCUUUGGAGAAAGUGUCUGUGUACCUGGUCAUUGCCCCCUUCUCACAGUGGUGCUUGUUUUCCAUUAACAUGGGCUGUAAUAAUUGUAUGCUAUUCAUUGUCUUCACAGGCUUUGGUUGUUAUUAUUGUCCUUAAAUCUUAUCUAGAUUAAGCAUUUAAGACAUUAAAUGCCCAUAGGGAAAAUUUAAAUAAGGAAAUAUCAGCAGAGGCAUGAUCUCCAUCAUUGAUAAUGAAACAUAGCCUCAAUUUGAUCUGCUUGCAGGACUACAUUUCUAUAAUGGUUCUUGUCAAACACAAUAGACUAAAUGGGAAGGGGAAAAAAAGGUCUGGGUUAGUCUGCCCUCUAGUGUAGUUUACUGGUUCCUAAAAUAAACUAGAGGAACGUGUCCUGGAAGCUGAUGGAGCAAUCCUGUCCGGAUGGCAAGUUGCCAUUUUCGCAGGCACCAGAUUGUCACAGCUCCCUCCUCUUCAGGAGCUACAGACUUUUCUAGCAUUAGGUCACCUUUCUAACCUAGUUUUCAAAAGAAAUGCAUAUGAACCACACCCUCCUGGACCUGAGCCUGCUUCAAGUCAGCAUUACACAGAUGUCCUUGACCAGAGUUUUUGCCAUUUGCUACCAUUUCAGAACAGGGGUGCAAAUAAAUAAAAAGACACAUUUCUGAGUUCUGAAAUGAAGGCUUUAGAAUUGGCUUCUGAGGUGGAGAUAUUUGGUCUAAGCACUGUUAUUAGUGUGAGCUAAUCUCUCUGGGACAGUCUGGGCUGUCUAUAGAAUAAAGCACUCUUAGUCCUUAGCAGUUCUCUGAACGUGAGUUUGCUGCAGUAUGGAUUCCAUGCUGGACUCUGUGGGCCAUGUUAGCAGCAAGGAAACAUCUUUGUGUUCUCUGUUUUAUAUCUUCCUGUGAUUUCUGCUUUAGAGUUGGGAACUCAAAUGCCCUGGAGGAAAGUUUUUGAAAAAUCUGUAGCUUAUACUCAACCACAUUA